Gorilla gorilla gorilla (western lowland gorilla) is the source of this 5796-nucleotide long non-coding RNA. RefSeq lists it as uncharacterized. The transcript is spliced from 7 exons. NCBI's taxonomy places the organism in Eukaryota, Metazoa, Chordata, Mammalia, Primates, Hominidae. The record is from RefSeq and is a predicted model, not a curated record.
GUGGCUCACGCCUGUAACCCCAGUACUUUGGGAGGCCGAGGUGGGCGGAUCACAAGGUCAGAUUGAGACCAUCCUGGCCAACGUGGUGAAACCUCGUCUCUACUAAAAAUACAAAAAUUAGCUGGGCGUGGUGGCACGUGCCUGUAAUCCCAGCUACUCGGGAGGCUGAGGCAGGAGAAUUGCUUGAACCAGGGAGUUGGAGGUUGCAGUCAGCCGAGAUCACACCACUGAAUUCCAGCCUGGCGACAGAGCGAAACUCCAUCUCAAAAAAAAAAAAAAAAAAAAGAAUUGAGGGAACUGCUUCCAUUAAAAUAUAGGGAAUGUAGAGGAGUUCAACAUGGAACUUAAAGUGAUCCAGAGCACACAGACAGAAGAUGUGGGAAGAACAGCAGCAGUGAGAAGGUGGGUCAGGAGGGAGACUAGCCAGGAAGGAUGGUCAGAGGAGCAGCAACCCGGGGUAACAGUGUGAAGCCUGGUGGUUUAUGUGGCUCCCAAAAUGCCAAAGAGACAGACCCAGCAAAUACUGGAAGGCUACAAAUGUAGACAGGACACUUGGAUAAAACAAAGGUCAACAUAGUUUGCACUUCUAUGGGAAUUUGUUCCAUGAAAGGGCUGUAUUUACACAGCAACCCCCAAAUGCAGAAGGAGCCUGGAAACCAAAGGAGGCAGAGAAAUCCAAUGUGUGGUUUUGGGUGAUUUAUUAGGGAAAUUUACAAACAGAAACGUGGUCUUGGGUGGCUACAAGAUAGGUAGAUCUCUGCACUGCAACCCCCCAGACCCAGGGCUUAUAUCUUGGGGAAAAAUAUACAUGCUCUAGAAGGAAUGUGUAGGUGGCUACCAGCGUCACAGCCUAUGAUUUCUGCAACAGCAACGAGGGUUGUUUUGAAGGAAACUUACAGUAAAUGGGUGUUUCUACAUAAAUAAUAAUACAUCAACUCAACGUUUUGGAGGCAUUCCCAGACUUGGGAUUAGUCAGUGGAUUGGUAUUUAAAAUAAAUUCACUCUUGUCCCCACCAAGAGUUUUCCUCUUCAGUGAAUGAGGAGGCUUUGUGUAGAAAGCAAAAGUUCCUCUUCAAAUCCCUUUAAAUCAUAAAUGUUAUUGAUAUCUUUUCUCAAAACUAACUUUAAGUUUCUUAUUUGAUAGUAAUAACUCUCUGUUAAGCCUUAUGUAGCAAAGGUAACAGAAUGAGCAUACUCUGACUUCAGUAUCUGUUAAACAUGCUCACAGGCAUGUAGUACAUUCUAUGUCCUUGUACCUUAGUCAGAAUAUUCGUGCUGGACAUGCCCAGGCAUGUCCCAGCUUGCAGCCUACCCUCCUCCCUUAUUUGGGAAUAUUAUUACUUUUCUAAGUCCUUUCAUAAGCAACUUCCUUUUUUUCCUUUGUUCCUCACUGCCUUUACCUAUUUUAAAAAGUUUUGAACUGUUAGCCAAUCGGGUUUUAGUUUAGAUUGUGAGGUCUGGCUCCAGCCAAUGGAGUCAGGACACAGCAAUAGGGACCUCAUGUGUAAGGCAAAAAUAUUCUAGUAUCUUUUUUACUUUGUGGGUACUCCUGGCAGGAUUGCUGACAGGCACCACCACCCUUUCUGCAAAGAGUAAAAAGAGUUUCCUGUUGAGGAAACAUUUUGUCUAAUUGCGGAUUCUUCUCUGCAACAUCGGGGAAUAAGCAUUUAUUUCCAACACUUUGGUCUCCCAGGAAGGACUACCUGAGCCAUGAGUGGUUUGCCGGGCUUGGGGAGAAGCUCUGGUUUGAUGCAGCUUUUUCCGAAGCUCCCAGGGAGUGCAGUCUGGGCCUGGUCUGUGAUUGUUUAGGCUGGAAAGCAUGGCCCUGGAAGGUGCAAGCCUGGUCGAUAGGAGUAUGGGUAGCAUAUGCACCAACAAUGCUCUGCAAAAUCUGUCUUAUUAUUAAUAUUAACCAGCGUAUGGUACUGCAGGUGAGGCAUGCAUGGAGACAUUUUGUGUCCGGAAUUGGUUCCUUCCAGUGGGUUCUUGGUCUCACUGACUUCAAGAAUGAAGCUGUGGACCCUCGCGAAUGCUGUGAUUAUCAUGAGCUAAGUCUCUCUGUUUCCCCAACUCCCUGCACCUCCCAUCUCUUCUGUGUGCCCCAGAAUCUCCCAGAGUGAGACGGCCCUGAAGGACAAUGUCUGUGAUCCCAGCUCAGGCACUUCACUAUGUGGGUGCUCUCCGAGCUCAACUGGACAGUGGGAUCAUGGAGCCUCUCUUUCAGAAUGGUCAUUAGGAUUCAAUGAUCAGCUCAACUGGGGAAACUGGGGAAAGCAGGGGUCCUCCAAGGAAAAGUAUUUGCCAUGAGUGGAUCCCACCAUCCACUUUAUCGUCAGGGACCUGUCUACCAAGACUGGCUACAGAGCGUGUAAACUCUCCCUAGCUCUCUUCUUCCUGGCUGGUCCUUAAGAUAACUCGAAGUCUGGUGGGGUACGGUGUAAUUGCAGCUACUCAGGAGGUUGAGGCAGAGUUUUGCUCUUGUUGGCCAGGCUGGAGUACAAUGGCAUGAUCUCGGCUCACUGCAACCUCCGCCUCCCCGGUUCAAGCGAUUAUCCUGCCUCAGCCUCCCGAGUAGCUGGGAUUACAGGAAUGCACCACCAUGCCCGGCUUUGGUGGAUUUCAAUGUCUUUCACAAUUUUUUCCUAGACUGCCAAAGAAAAAAGGGUCCUCCUCUCCCUCUCUGAUUCCUGAGAAGUUUUCACUGGACACUACAAGAAAGACUUAAUAUGUAAACAGCGUAUGGAGUUGAACAGCUGGUUGUGUUUCAGAAGACGUAACAUCUUCUAAAUGUCAGGCUGCUGAGUGAAAGGCAGGCAGUGCCUGAGCCCAGCACUCCCUCAGGAUUCCCUGUUUCCAUGCGAAAGUGCAGAGAGCUCAAGUCAGUCUUCUAAUUAAACUUGGCAAUAUUACAAUGAAAAGGAAGAUUUGGGAGUUGGCAACGUGGCACAUAAACAAACUUUUAUGUGAAUAAUUAAGCGAGAGCUAAGCAUACGCUGGAACAUCUUUAAUCAACUUGUGAUUACAGUUACCAGUAAAAGCCCAAACGUUUCCGAAAGCUUCUACGUUGUUUAUGUGCUGUGGUUAUUCUAACAUAUCUCCUUUGAUAUACCCAGCAUAUCUUUUUAGCCAUUUUGCCUUCUUUCAUUUUUCUUCCUUUUUUCAAAUCCCUGCCCAAUUUUGACACAGGCAACUUGUGAAAAGGAUUGUAUGUGUAAGCUUACACACAGGUAAACGUGUGUGCACAAACACUUUACAUGUGAACACACACACACAAAGUCAGGAGAGCCCAUGGAUUGUGCCUUUAAGGAACUUUGCUCCAAUAAAACCCAGGGUGUUGUGUUUGGAAGCCAUCAGGAUGCAUCUGCCACCAUCAGAAAUGACCCUGUGGAACAGUCCAGAGCCAGGUCAGCCUGGAACGACAUCUCCCAGUUCACACCGGACUCCGCGUGUGCUAAUUCCCAGUGGGUCUCAAAGCGCCAUCAUGAACUUUUAUCAAACCUUCGUGCAUUUCAAACUACAACUGCAGAAACCACAUGAAAGUUUGCUGCAAAACAAUUUCUGCUAAAGGCUUUCCAAACAAAAGCGGUUGAAUGUUUAAGAGAAUUUAAACAAGACAGGAAUCUCUAUAUACUAGGCAGCAUGCUGAGAAAGCAAUGUAGGAAAGGCCACAUUGUAGGAAAGGGUAGGUUUCAGAAUUCCAUCUCCUAUUCCAGUUCGGAGCACGAGCUCACUGUCAUUUAAGCUUUGAAAGUCAAAUCCUUUCCUUGUAUUUUUCGAAACCACUGAUGCAGCUUAAGAAAACAGUGGAAAAGUACAUUUUUAAAAUGUAGGAGAUUAAUUCUGCUUCUCUCUAUCCCUCAAAAGAAAGAUAAUUAUAGAGACUAGGCUAGUGCCACAUAUAUUAUAUGUAAAAUAUUUAGAUUCUCUUGGACUUUCACUAAAACUAAACUUUCACUAAACUAAACCAGUUCAGUGGUAUUUUAUAUUUUUCUAACAUUCAUCUUCUUUUCUUUUCUUUUUUUUUUUUUGAGACAGAGUCUCACUCUUGUCGCCCAGGCUGGAGUGCAAUGGCGUUAUCUUGGCUCCCACGGCAACCUCCGCCUCCUGGGCUCAAGUGAUUCUCCUGCCUCAGCCACCCGAGUAGCUGGGAUUACAGGCAUGCCACCACGCCUGGCUAAUUUUUGUGUUUUUAGUAGAGACGGGGUUUCACCAUGUUGGCCAGGCUGGUCUCAAACUCCUGACCUCAGAUGAUCCACUCACCUCGGCUUCCCAAAGUGCUGGGAUUACAGGUGUGAUCCAGUGUGCCUGGCCUAUUUUUCUAACAUUCUUCUACUCCGGACUCUCCCCUCCCAAGCUUUAAGUUUUUCCCAGCAAAGAGUAACAUUAUUCAGUUACUGUACAAGUUCUAGAACAACUACUAGAUUAGCAUCUCCCUGGCUCCAGGAACAAUACAUUUUUGCUACUCAAACAAAGAAACCAGAGAAAGAUUAGUGGCUAACUCCAUCUGAUAUGAAACAAACCAGUCAUUUUAACUUUAAAAUGAAAAAUUCUGUACUCUGUAUCUGUCUCAGUUGGCCCAGAAGGAUGAACCCUGCUUACCUUGGACACAAAACACUCUGCUAUGGCCACAGGAUCAUUUUCACAGUUUUCCAAAUCUUGCAGAAGUUCACUAAUAAAAAAAUAACAGCCAGGAAGUAUUAGAUUGUAGUCUUCUGGGUGAGUACAUUUUGUAUAAUUUAAAAGUUUAAACAUUUCCAUGGCAUUUACAAGGAAUCAUAUAAUUGGAUAACUGAGGACCUGCUGUCAUUGUAUCCAAGGCUUAGGUAAGGGACUUGCCCAAGGUCAUGGUGGAGCAGGGGAUUAAACCCAGGUUGAACCCAUAACUCUCCCACCAGAGCUAAGCCCUGCCUAUCUUUAAGUUUUGCAGACGUUUGUCAUCAUCUACUUGAAUGCUCACCCAUGCUCAUUCAGACAUCAAAUAGCUGCCUAGGUACCAGGUACAGUGUACCUGUACUAGGAACACAUCAGUGAGCAAAGUAAGACAUGGGCUCUCGGAGGUCCCCAACCUUUUUGGCACCAGGGAUCAGUUUCGUGGAAGACAACUUUUCCACAGACUGGACUGUGGGGAUGGUUUUCGGAUGACUCAAGUGCAUUACACUUACCAUUAGAUUCUCAUAACCUAGAUCCCGCGCAUGCACAGUUCACAAUAGGGUGUGUGCUCCUAUGAGAAUCUAAUGCUGCCACUGAUCUGACAGGAGGUGGAGCUCAGCUUCGCUUGCUCUCACCUCCUACUCUGCAGACCAGUUCCUAACAGGUCACAGACUGGUAUUGUCUGUGACCUGGGGGUUGGGGACUCCAUGGCUCUGGUUUUAUGGAGCUUCCAAUCCAUUGGAAGAGUCAAGCAUUCAGUGAAAAAUCACACUAAUGAAUACAAAAUUAUAAUAGAGAUAGUGCUUUAAAGGAGAGAUAUGCUGGGAAGGGAAAUAUCUUUCCUCAAAUGUAAAUUCAUGUUAUUUUUUUUACUAGGAGUAUCAUUAUUUUAAGUAACAGCAUAAUACUUCAUUGUGUGACUAUACCAUAAUUGAUUCAAUGAAUCUCACACUGUUGGAUAAAAUUCUAUAUAUGGAAUUGAUGGGUCAAAGAACAUUCUCAGUGUAAAUGUUAACACAUUUCUAAAUUGCACUCCACAUGAGUUAUACUAAUAUACACCUUACCAUGCUAAGUGUUUAUUUUAAUGAGCCAUAUGCUAUAUAUUUAAUAAAAAGUGAAGUAGUUCUACAGGAAUUAUGAUAAAAA